GCGUGUAGCAGUGAAAUGCGUAGAUAUGCGGAGGAACACCGAUGGCGAAGGCAGCCUCCUGGGAUAACACUGACGUUCAUGCACGAAAGCGUGGGGAGCAAACAGGAUUAGAUACCUUGGUAGUCCACGCCCUAAACGAUGUCAACUAGCUGUUGGGCCCUUCGGGCCUUGGUAGCGCAGCUAACGCGUGAAGUUGACCGCCUGGGGAGUACGGUCGCAAGAUUAAAACUCAAAGGAAUGGACGGGGCCCCGCACAAGCCAUGGAUGAUGUGGAUUAAUUCGAUGCAACGCGAAAACCCUCACCUACCCUUGACAUGUCUGGAAUGCCGAAGAGAUUUGGCAGUGCUCGCAAGAGAACCGGAACACAGGCGCGGCAUGGCUGUCGUCAGCUCGUGUCAUGAGAGGUUGGGUUAAGUCCCGCAACGAGCGCAACCCUUGUCAUUAGUUGAUACGAAAGGGCACUCUAAGGGGACUGCCGGUGACAAACCGGAGGAAGGGGGGGAUGACGUCAAGUCCUCAUGGCCCUUAUGGGUAGGGCUUCACCCGUCAUACAAUGGUCGGGACAGAGGGUCGCCAACCCGCGAGGGGGAGCCAAUCCCAGAAACCCGAUCGUAGUCCGGAUCGCAGUCUGCAACUCGACUGCGUGAAGUCGGAAUCGCUAGUAAUCGCGGAUCAGCAUGUCGCGGUGAAUACGUUCCCGGGUCUUGUACACACCGCCCGUCACACCAUGGG
Molecule: ribosomal RNA, 732 nt
Filed under: Achromobacter sp.
Lineage: Bacteria; Pseudomonadati; Pseudomonadota; Betaproteobacteria; Burkholderiales; Alcaligenaceae
Description: bacterial SSU rRNA
Rfam family: Bacterial small subunit ribosomal RNA
Source: RNAcentral